Molecule: non-coding RNA, 310 nt
Organism: Ictidomys tridecemlineatus (thirteen-lined ground squirrel)
Lineage: Eukaryota; Metazoa; Chordata; Mammalia; Rodentia; Sciuridae
Source: RefSeq, a predicted model, not a curated record
CAUAGCAACCAGAACACAUCCAGCCUCCUCUGCUCUCACCAAGCACUGGGCCUGAGAACCAGCAGGUCAGCUUAAGGAUGGAUUGAUGAUUAAAUGAGUGAGAUAGUAGAAAUAACUCAGUGAUGGAAAAACAACCCAAACCAACCACAGAAAUAGUCAAAAAGAAUGGAGGCCAGAGCCAUUAAGGUGACUUACCGAAGAUCUAUGUCUUUGGCAAAGCAAGUGCUCUUUCCACUCCAUUCUUGGCCUACAUUUAAGUGCAUCUAAAGACUAUUUACCAAUUAUUAAAUAAAACAUAAUUAGAAUGAAA